This 301-nucleotide ribosomal RNA is filed under the name uncultured bacterium. RNAcentral's name for it is "partial 16S ribosomal RNA". It matches the Rfam family "Bacterial small subunit ribosomal RNA", at positions 509 to 807 of the family's 1533-position model. The record is from RNAcentral.
CAGUAGCCACGGUAAUACGUAGGUGGCAAGCGUUGUCCGGAAUUAUUGGGCGUAAAGGGCUCGCAGGCGGUUUCUUAAGUCUGAUGUGAAAGCCCCCGGCUCAACCGGAGAGGGUCAUUGGAAACUGGGAAACUUGAGUGCAGAAGAGGAGAGUGGAAUUCCACGUGUAGCGGUGAAAUGCGUAGAGAUGUGGAGGAACACCAGUGGCGAAGGCGACUCUCUGGUCUGUAACUGACGCUGAGGAGCGAAAGCGUGGGGAGCAAAUGGGAUUAGAUACCCCUGUAGUCCCUGUCUCUUAUAC